AAGCUUAAGAGGGCCGACGACGAAUGCCUAGGGACAAAUUGCCGAAGAAGGACGCGUAAGCGGCGAAACGUCUAGGGGAGCUGCACAGAAGCUUUGAUCCUAGAAUUUCCGAAUGGAGAAAUCCGGCUAGAGUCAUGUUUAGUCACUCAUAUCUGAACACAUAGGAUAUGUAGAGGGAACCUGGUGAACUGAAACAUCUAAGUAACCAGUGGAAAAGAAAUCGAAGAGAUUCCGUAAGUAGCGGCGAGCGAAAGCGGAUUAGCCCAAACCAGCAGGCUUGCCUGCUGGGGUUGUAGGACCACCACUAACUUUCUCUAAUCAAGACAUCUGCAAAGAUGGUUUGAUUAGCGGAAGUUAGAAAAACAAGGUUUACAGUUAAUAGAACAAGUUUGGAAAGACUGGCCAUAGAGGGUGAUAGCCCCGUAUAUGAAAACACGUAAACAAUUUGUAGGUGGCACCUGAGUAGCACGGAGCACGUGGAACCCCGUGUGAACCCGCCGAGACCACUCGGUAAGGCUAAAUACAAUUUGUCACCGAUAGUGCAUCCAGUACCGUGAGGGAAAGGUGAAAAGAACCCCGGGUAGGGGAGUGAAAUAGAACCUGAAAUCGUCGAGUCCACAAACAGUCAGAGCACCAUGUUCGGAGUAAUCCGUCCAAGUGCGAUGGCGUACCUUUUGCAGAAUGAGCCUGCGAGUUACUAGUGUUGGCAAGCCUAAGUGUUUCAGACAUGGAGGCGGAGAGAAAUCGAGUCCGAAUAGGGCGUCAAGUCAGCAUUAGUAGACCCGAAACUGCGUGAUCUAGCCAUGGUCAGGCUGAAGUGAUGGUAACACAUCAUGGAGGGCCGAACUCAUAGACGUUGAAAAGUCUCGGGAUGAACUGUGGUUAGUCCGGUGAAAUGCCAAUCGAACGCAGAGAUAGCUGGUUCUCCCCGAAAUGCAUUGAGGUGCAGCGUCUGGAAUUGUUUCAUGGGGGUAGAGCACUGAAUGGGCUAGGGGCCUUACCGUCUUACCAAACCCAACCAAACUCCGAAUACCAUGAAAUUGAGCCAGGCAGUGAGACGGUGAGUGAUAAGAUCCAUCGUCAAAAGGGAAACAACCCAGAUCGACAGCUAAGGGCCCUAAACGAUGACUAAGUGUGAAACGAUGUGAGAUCGCGUAAACAGCCAGGAGGUUGGCUUGGAAGCAGCCACCCUUUAAAAAGUGCGUAACAGCUUACUGGCCGAAUGUGAUCUUGCGCGGAUAAUGUAAGGGGGCUAAAGUCAUCUCCCGAAGCUUCGGGAUCAUCGUAAGAUGAUCGGUAGGGGAGCGUUGGGUAUGCAGUGAAGCUGUAGCGGAAGCAACAGUGGAGCGUACUCAAGUGAGAAUGCAGGCAUGAGUAGUGAUAAGAAAGGUGAGAAUCCUUUCCGCCGAAAAUCUAAGGUUUCUCCGGCUAUGUUCGUCAGACGGAGGUUAGGCGGUCCCUAAGGUGAGGCCAGAAGGCGUAGCCGAUGGACAUCCAGUAGACAUUCUGGACCCAGUUAUAUGAGCCAAGGGAGGACGUUUCUCAAUUUCUGAUCCCGCACUGUUGGUAGUUGCGGGCUAGGCCGAAACCCUAGUUCCUGUUAAGGGAACUUUUCAAGUGGGCGGGGCCGGGGAAGGAAGUUCUUCGGAAUGACCGAACUCAGAAUGCGAGGGGCCUAGAAAAUUCCCGUAGCGUUAAUUGUAUAGCUGACCGUACUGCAAACCGACACAGGUAGAUGAGUCGAGGAGACUCAGGCGUUCGAGAGAACUCUCGUUAAGGAACUAGGCAAAUGAGCCCCGUACGUUCGCAAUAAGGGGCGCCCCGCAAGGGGCCGCAGCGAAGCAUCCAUGGCGACUGUUUACCAAAAACACAGGUCUCUGCUAAGGCGAAAGCCGAAGUAUAGGGGCUGACACCUGCCCAAUGCUCGUAGGUUAACAGGAGAUGUUAGGGGUAACCCGAAGCAUUGAAUCGAAGCCCGAGUGAAUGGCGGCCGUAACUCUAACGGUCCUAAGGUAGCGAAAUUCCUUGUCGGCUAAAUACCGACCCGCAUGAAAGGUGUAACGACUAUGGAACUGUCUCAACGAGAAGCUCGAUGAAACUGUAGUGCCCGUGAAGAUGCGGGCUAUGCGCAGUAGGACGGAAAGACCCCGUGGAGCUUUACUACACCUUGACAUUGUGAAUUGGGUGUAAAUGCAGAGCGUAGGUGGGAGCUUCGGCGCCAAUGGAACACCACCCUUUUGCAUCUGGUUCACUAACCUGACCCGUAAUCCGGGCCGGAGACAUUGUCAGGCGGGUAGUUUGACUGGGGCGGUCGCCUCCGAAAAGGUAACGGAGGCGCCUAAAGAUCCACUCAGGCUGGUUGGAAAUCAGCCGUUGAGCGUAUUGGUAUAGAGUGGGUUUGACUGUGAGACAUACAAGUCGAGCAGGGACGAAAGUCGAGCAAAGUGACCCUCUGGUUGUGCGUGGGCACGCCAGGGUUCAACGGAUAUAAGCUACCCCGGGGAUAACAGGCUGAUCUUGCCCGAGCGCUCACAGCGACGGCAUGGUUUGGCACCUCGAUGUCGGCUCGUCGCAUCCUGGGGCUGUACAAGGUCCCAAGGGUUCCGGAGUUCACGGAUUAAAGCGGCACGCGAGCUGGGUUCAGAACGGCGUGAGCCAGUUCGGUCCCUAUCCACUGCGCACGUAAGAAAUUUGAGAGGAGUCGCCCUUAGUACGAGAGGACCGGGGUGAACAGACCUCUGGUGUACCAGUUGUUCCGCCAGGAGCAUACGCUGGGUAGCCACGUCUGGUCGGGAUAAGCGCUGAAAGCAUCUAAGCGCCAAGCCCACCUCAAGAUUAGAUUUCUCAUAUUAGUAAGGACACUUGAAGACUACAAGUUUGAUAGGUCAGAGCUGUGAGCACAGUAAUGUGUUAAGGUGACUGAUACUAAUUGUCCGAGGGCUU
This 2943-nucleotide ribosomal RNA is filed under the name uncultured Fimbriimonas sp. Its description in RNAcentral is "Bacterial large subunit ribosomal RNA". It matches the Rfam family "Bacterial large subunit ribosomal RNA". Lineage: Bacteria; Bacillati; Armatimonadota; Fimbriimonadia; Fimbriimonadales; Fimbriimonadaceae. The record is from RNAcentral.